RNAcentral lists this non-coding RNA (82 nucleotides) under pig gut metagenome. RNAcentral's name for it is "TPP riboswitch (THI element)". It matches the Rfam family "TPP riboswitch aptamer (THI element)", at positions 6 to 99 of the family's 105-position model. Rfam says of the family: Vitamin B(1) in its active form thiamin pyrophosphate (TPP) is an essential coenzyme that is synthesised by coupling of pyrimidine and thiazole moieties in bacteria. The previously detected thiamin-regulatory element, thi box was extended, resulting in a new, highly conserved RNA secondary structure, the THI element, which is widely distributed in eubacteria and also occurs in some archaea. Analysis of operon structures identified a large number of new candidate thiamin-regulated genes, mostly transporters, in various prokaryotic organisms. The record is from RNAcentral.
UACCGCUGGGGGCGCCGAAAGGCUGAGAAUUGUACCCUUCGAACCUGAUAUUGUUAAUACAUUCGUAGGGAAGCGGAUCUUA